GACGAACGCUGGCGGCGUGCCUAAUACAUGCAAGUAGAACGCUGAAGCGAGGAGCUUGCUCUUCUUGGAUGAGUUGCGAACGGGUGAGUAACGCGUAGGUAACCUGCCUUGUAGCGGGGGAUAACUAUUGGAAACGAUAGCUAAUACCGCAUAACAAUGGAUGACACAUGUCAUUUAUUUGAAAGGGGCAAUUGCUCCACUACAAGAUGGACCUGCGUUGUAUUAGCUAGUAGGUGAGGUAAUGGCUCACCUAGGCGACGAUACAUAGCCGACCUGAGAGGGUGAUCGGCCACACUGGGACUGAGACACGGCCCAGACUCCUACGGGAGGCAGCAGUAGGGAAUCUUCGGCAAUGGGGGCAACCCUGACCGAGCAACGCCGCGUGAGUGAAGAAGGUUUUCGGAUCGUAAAGCUCUGUUGUAAGUCAAGAACGGGUGUGAGAGUGGAAAGUUCACACUGUGACGGUAGCUUACCGGAAAGGGACGGCUAACUACGUG
Molecule: ribosomal RNA, 497 nt
Filed under: uncultured bacterium
Lineage: Bacteria
Description: partial 16S ribosomal RNA
Rfam family: Bacterial small subunit ribosomal RNA
Source: RNAcentral